This 680-nucleotide ribosomal RNA is filed under the name uncultured Clostridium sp. Its description in RNAcentral is "bacterial SSU rRNA". It matches the Rfam family "Bacterial small subunit ribosomal RNA", at positions 28 to 736 of the family's 1533-position model. Lineage: Bacteria; Bacillati; Bacillota; Clostridia; Eubacteriales; Clostridiaceae. The record is from RNAcentral.
GAUGAACGCUGGCGGCGUGCCUAACACAUGCAAGUCGAGCGAUCUUCUUCGGAAGAGAGCGGCGGACGGGUGAGUAACGCGUGGGUAACCUGCCCUGUACACACGGAUAACAUACCGAAAGGUAUGCUAAUACGGGAUAACAUAAGAGAGUCGCAUGGCUAUCUUAUCAAAGCUUUUGCGGUACAGGAUGGACCCGCGUCUGAUUAGCUAGUUGGUAAGGUAACGGCUUACCAAGGCGACGAUCAGUAGCCGACCUGAGAGGGUGAUCGGCCACAUUGGAACUGAGACACGGUCCAAACUCCUACGGGAGGCAGCAGUGGGGAAUAUUGCACAAUGGGCGAAAGCCUGAUGCAGCAACGCCGCGUGAGCGAUGAAGGCCUUCGGGUCGUAAAGCUCUGUCCUCAAGGAAGAUAAUGACGGUACUUGAGGAGGAAGCCCCGGCUAACUACGUGCCAGCAGCCGCGGUAAUACGUAGGGGGCUAGCGUUAUCCGGAAUUACUGGGCGUAAAGGGUGCGUAGGCGGUCUUUCAAGUCAGAAGUGAAAGGCUACGGCUCAACCGUAGUAAGCUUUUGAAACUGUAAGACUUGAGUGCAGGAGAGGAGAGUGGAAUUCCUAGUGUAGCGGUGAAAUGCGUAGAUAUUAGGAGGAACACCAGUUGCGAAGGCGGCUCUCUGGACUG